RNAcentral lists this ribosomal RNA (124 nucleotides) under Lepisosteus oculatus (spotted gar). Lineage: Eukaryota; Metazoa; Chordata; Actinopteri; Semionotiformes; Lepisosteidae. The record is from RNAcentral.
GCCAGCGGCCAUGUCACCCUGCAACUUACUGUACAAUUGGCAACCCACUGAAGCUCAGCAGGUGUGAGCCGGGUCAGUACCUGGAUGAGAGACCUCCUGGGAAAAACUAGGGUUGCUGCUGAAA